This 239-nucleotide ribosomal RNA is filed under the name uncultured bacterium. RNAcentral's name for it is "partial 16S ribosomal RNA". It matches the Rfam family "Bacterial small subunit ribosomal RNA", at positions 15 to 244 of the family's 1533-position model. The record is from RNAcentral.
GAUCCUGGCUCAGGACGAACGCUGGCGGCGUGCCUAAUACAUGCAAGUAGAACGCUGAAGAGAGGAGCUUGCUCUUCUUGGAUGAGUUGCGAACGGGUGAGUAACGCGUAGGUAACCUGCCUUGUAGCGGGGGAUAACUAUUGGAAACGAUAGCUAAUACCGCAUAACAAUGGGUGACACAUGUCAUUUAUUUGAAAGGGGCAAUUGCUCCACUACAAGAUGGACCUGCGUUGUAUUAG